Molecule: ribosomal RNA, 497 nt
Filed under: uncultured bacterium
Lineage: Bacteria
Description: partial 16S ribosomal RNA
Rfam family: Bacterial small subunit ribosomal RNA
Source: RNAcentral
GAUGAACGCUGGCGGCGUGCCUAAUACAUGCAAGUCGAGCGAACAGACGAGGAGCUUGCUCCUCUGACGUUAGCGGCGGACGGGUGAGUAACACGUGGAUAACCUACCUAUAAGACUGGGAUAACUUCGGGAAACCGGAGCUAAUACCGGAUAAUAUAUUGAACCGCAUGGUUCAAUAGUGAAAGACGGUUUUGCUGUCACUUAUAGAUGGUUCCGCGCCGCAUUAGCUAGUUGGUAAGGUAACGGCUUACCAAGGCAACGAUGCGUAGCCGACCUGAGAGGGUGAUCGGCCACACUGGAGCUGGGACACGGUCCAGACUCCUACGGGAGGCAGCAGUAGGGAAUCUUCCGCAAUGGGCGGAAGCUUGACGGAGCAACGCCGCGUGAGUGAUGAAGGUCUUCGGAUCGUAAAACUCUGUUAUUAGGGAAGAACAAAUGUGUAAGUAACUAUGCACGUCUUGACGGUACCUAAUCAGAAAGCCACGGCUAACUACGUG